UCCAGACACUGUUAAAACGAUUUAAUACAGCCAGUCUGAGCAUGUCUGUUGCCACAGUGAGGAUGAUUAUAAGCAAUGGGCUGGCUGAAGAAAUUUAGAAUUGGAUUGCACGUGAAGAUGGGGAGCAGGAAGGGGAAAGACCCCAGUGUACACAGCCCUGUGCACCUCCCUGGGGUAUCAAGAGAAACUCCCAUGGAAGAAUUCCAUUCAAGGAUACUUACUGUUUCUUCCCAGAU
Long non-coding RNA from Homo sapiens (human), 236 nucleotides. RefSeq lists it as uncharacterized. NCBI's taxonomy places the organism in Eukaryota, Metazoa, Chordata, Mammalia, Primates, Hominidae. The record is from RefSeq and is a predicted model, not a curated record. The transcript is spliced from 3 exons.